GAUUUGUUUAAGAUUUGAUUUAAGAUUCAAGAUUUAUUUAAGAUUUGAUUUAGAGUUUAAGAUUUUUUUAAAGCUUCUAAGAUUUGGUUUAGGAUUUAGAAUUUAGUUAAAAUUUGACCUAGGAUUUAGUUAAGGUCCAUUAAAGUUUCAAUUGAAAUUAAAGUAGAAUUAUUUUAGGAUUCAUUUAAGAUUUAUUUAAGAUUUCUCUAAUAUUUCUUUAAGAUUUAUUUAAGAU
Molecule: long non-coding RNA, 235 nt
Filed under: Physcomitrium patens
Lineage: Eukaryota; Viridiplantae; Streptophyta; Bryopsida; Funariales; Funariaceae
Description: long non-coding RNA (PPAT_LNC000042)
Source: RNAcentral